UGGAAGUUGGUUUCUAGAAGGUGCUCUCAUU
This 31-nucleotide non-coding RNA is filed under the name Homo sapiens (human). The record is from RNAcentral. Lineage: Eukaryota; Metazoa; Chordata; Mammalia; Primates; Hominidae.